RNAcentral lists this ribosomal RNA (486 nucleotides) under uncultured bacterium. Its description in RNAcentral is "partial 16S ribosomal RNA". It matches the Rfam family "Bacterial small subunit ribosomal RNA", at positions 30 to 507 of the family's 1533-position model. The record is from RNAcentral.
AUUGAACGCUGGCGGCAUGCCUUACACAUGCCAGUCGAACGGCAGCACGGGUGCUUGCACCUGGUGGCGAGUGGCGAACGGGUGAGUAAUACAUCGGAACCUGUCCUGUAGUUGGGGAUAGCCCUGCGAAAGCCGGAUUAAUACCGCAUACGAUCUUCGGAUGAAAUCGUGGGACCUUCGGACCUCGCGCUAUAGGGUUGGCCGAUGCCUGAUUAGCUAGUUGGUGGGGUAAAGGCCUACCAAGGCGACGAUCAGUAGCUGGUCUGAGAGGACGACCAGCCACAUUGGGACUGAGACACGGCCAAGACGCCUAAGGGAGGCAGCAGUGGGGAAUGGGGGACAAUGGGCGAAAGCCUGAUCCAGCAAUGCCGCGUGUGUGAAGAAGGCCUUCGGGUUGUAAAGCACUUUUGUGCGGAAAGAAAUCCUUGGGCCUAAUACGGUCGGGGGAUGACGGUACCGGAAGAAUAAGCACCGGCUAACUACGUG